Molecule: long non-coding RNA, 1377 nt
Filed under: Olea europaea subsp. europaea
Lineage: Eukaryota; Viridiplantae; Streptophyta; Magnoliopsida; Lamiales; Oleaceae
Source: RNAcentral
AUUUGUUUCAGUUUGAAAAUUCAUCUAUAAAUAAAUACCUGCCUUUUAUUUCCCUUCUAAAAAUUUUAUGCAGCAACAUAGCAUUAUAUACCAAGAAACUAUAUUCUCUCUAUAUACAAUGUUUCAGAUGAGGCUGCAGCCAAAUUCAGUUGUAUUGAAAUACAUAAGUCUGAUUGCAUGCCUACUAAAUUGGGCAUGGGAUUACCUUCUUCCCCAGUCCUCCUCCUUUCAGCCUCGUGAAAUAGUUGAAUUACCAGACUACGUUGAUGACCUUGCCGUAACGCGUUACGAAAAUAAUAACAAUGCAAAGUGUGGAGAUUCAUCAACAGAGUGUGCUAUUUGCUUAUACAGAAUUGGUGAAGGGGAUGAAGUUAAAGAGCUGGGAUGCAACCAUCUUUAUCAUAGAGUUUGCUUAGAUCGGUGGGUACGACAUGGACACAGGACAUGUCCACUCUGCCGGGAAAACUUAAAGCCACCGGUACCGCAACUGGCAUGGAUACUUCCACCAGCACGAGAAGAUGAUACUAAUUAACAUAUGAUCAACCAGAUAAAGUUCGGAAAAAAGCUGUUUUCAAAUGUUUUAACAUCCGUGUCUAUCGUUCAGUCUAAAUUGAUAUGUAUUUUCAAUAUUAUUCAACAUUCCAUAUGCAAAAAUGCGUCAAAUCAGUGAGUGUAAAGAUGUUGGAUUAAGCUUGAGAAUAUGUUGUCAUCACAGGAAUAUAUAUAUAUAUUGCUUAUGUCACUGGUAAGUAUACUUUAUACGUUUAUAAAUAUUCAUAAUUAUUGAUUAUUUGAGUAGUUUUCUACUCAUUCAUUUAUACAUUGUGUUUCUAGGUUAAAACCUCAAUUUGAAGGGAUAAAAAAGCAAAAGGAAGUGAUUUGGAGCGUUAAGUGAACAAAAAGAUGGUGUUGGAUGAAUGCUCGAAAGUUUUGGGACUCAAUAGGACGCUAGUAAAAGGUAAUUGGAAGAUUUCAUGUAUUGUGGGAAAAAAUGAAUGAAAUCUGAAGGAUCAGUUGAAUAUGUUUAAAAGAUAGUGGAAAAUAAUUGAAGAGAUUCAAAUUGAAGGACUAAUUUGGAGGACAUUAGAAGUUCAAGGACUAAAAUGAAAAAAACUAAAACGUGACAUCUCAUCCUUUCAGCAAUAUAAUUCAAAGAACUUUCGCGAGGAAUGGAAAAAGGCUCAAAGAGUUGUUAAUAAAGUACUUGAAUCAUGGAAUCAAUAAGGGAUUACAAGGAAUUAUGGAAUCAAUAAGAGUUUGAAACUCACUAUUUCUACUCCAUGUUGAUUGUCUCAUUAGGGAAAAUGAGAUGGAUAUUAUUGUCGGAAAAUUAGUUUAAUUAGUUGGUUUGAUCAAUUACUUAAGUAGGUCCCAUUA